AGAGCAUGAAAACAUUUGAUGCAAUCCACAUUUUAAUAUGGUAUUAAUAUUACAACAAAUACUGAAAAAAAUUAGUGCACAAAAACUUUCUGAACACACUCUAUUCAUAACAAUUGUUAUUUUACUCUCCCCUCCGCCAGCAAAAUCACAAAUCACUUGAAAUGUAAGAAGACCUCUUUUUUUUGGCAAGGACCGGUCUUGCCACGCCAUUUUUCACGUUCACACUCCCUUAAAUUUGUUCACACUGAGCCAAUGCAUUUAGCAGGAUAAAGUUAAUAGUGUUUUUUGGGGGGGUAUUUGUAGGUACCCACUUUUCUCUCAGAAUAAUCAGAGUGGCUCUGCUGGAAGAGAAGCAGCAUCAUGAACGGGAAGAGAAAGAGGCAGAGAAGGUCCCCAACUACUCAAAGCUUCGGACAUAGUCGACGUUCACACAGAAUAGAGAGAAUAGGCACACCGGUGACUAUUGUUGUCGGCUCUAAUUGUAUGCGUUGCUACUCUGUGUUAAGCUAGCAGUUGUUUGAAGGUUACGAACUACUGCAACAUCGAGCGCUGAUUACCAUUAGCCCAUCGAUAAUAUUUCACAUUAUGUGUUCACAUGAAGUUAACAUACAUUAGGUUUUGUAGAGGAAAUUAUAUGGUUUGUUUGAAUGUUUUGGUAUUUAAUAUAUGUCACAUUCUCUUUACUUGUAUGUGUCCAUUUUACAAUUAACUUCAACUCAGAAACAACUCAAAGCAAGCACACUUUGCAUCUUAAUCCAGGCACUAAAGACACUUUAAAGAUUUGUUUCAAUAACUUGAAAUGUGUUUAUAGUGUGUGAGAGGGGCAACAUUUAAGUUUUUCUUUUAUCGCACCCCCCCCCCCCCCCCCCCCCUCCCACCAAUGAUAAACAGGGUUGACUGUAUAAUUCAUCCUGUCCUCACACAAAAAGGACUUCAAGUCCACGCACUGAACACUCGGACGUUUUCUUGUCGCUGAUGAGCUGACCACAUCCUCGGAAUACUUCACAAGACAAAUAAUUGAACUCUUCAACAAACACCCCACCCCCCACCCCCCUUGAUGGACAAAAAUUGCUCCUCCAGCCGCCACUUCUGCUUCUUGGCUUUGUUCUCCCAAAGCAACAGCAGCGACCAAGCGAGCUCAAAGAGGAGGCCUUUUUGCAACAAAACACACCUCGCGGCAAUGAUAACACAUAAGAGCGCCGACGUUUGCUCGCUUGCUUGCAUUUACGCCCCGGCUUGGCUGAUUUGAAGCCAUUAGAGGCGGCCCCGGCGUGUUGUACAAAUAGUAAUAAAGAAGCCUUCAAAAGAGAUAUGUGAUCUUAAAAGAGUUGUUUUAUCCUGGCACGUCGUGACUGAUGCCACCAUCAGCAGUUAGCAGCAAUCAAGGCAGUAAGUAAGAUUGGCCGAGAGAGGAUGGUGUGGAUGAUGUAUUUAUGUAUUUGGUCAAUAGGUGGCAGUGUGCACCCACAGAACGAGUGUCUGUGUUGGCAGUGGACGCUCGAGGGCCGUUCGGUGGAUUUAAUUAGACAGAAACAGAUACUUACGUGUUCAUUUCUCCGCAGCCUCUCUGCUGAGGAAGAGAAGAGAAGAAAAAGAAAAACACUCUUUACGCUCCAGUGGCAACUGCACAUACGCUCGGUGGAAAAAAAAAGGCCAAGUGUUACGACCCAGCUUCACACUUCCUGGAGGCGGCCAUGACUGCAGGAACUCCCGAGGAACUGUCCAAAUUGAUGUUCUCCAUGAAUGACAUCAAGCGUGACGGAUAACGAAUCAUCAAAUAAGACGGAUGCUCAGGUGCCUUGUGAUUGCUUGGCGACCAGUUCAGGGUGUACCCCACCUCUGCCCAAAGUCAACUGGGAUAGACACACACACGCAACAGUGAGUGUGCACGGUUCCAGUUCCCACGACCCGGACGACCUCAAGCGCUCCGGAAGAUGGUUGAAUGGAUGUAUGAAAUGACUCCAUCAU
This is a long non-coding RNA of Hippocampus zosterae (dwarf seahorse), 1968 nucleotides long. RefSeq lists it as uncharacterized. The transcript is spliced from 4 exons. The record is from RefSeq and is a predicted model, not a curated record. NCBI's taxonomy places the organism in Eukaryota, Metazoa, Chordata, Actinopteri, Syngnathiformes, Syngnathidae.